UGCAGAAUCCCGCGAACCAUCGAGUCUUUGAACGCAAGUUGCGCCCGAGGCCACUUGGCCGAGGGCACGCCUGCCUGGGCGUCACGCCAAACACGCUCCCACCCCUCAUCGGGUUGUGGGAUGCGGCAUGUGGCUCCCCGUCUUGCAAGGGGCGGUGGGCCGAAGAUGCGGCUGCCGGCGUAUCGUGCCGGACACAGCGCGUGGUGGGCGAACUCGCUUUACUUACCGCAGUGCAUCCGGCCCAUAGCCGACGUGAUGGCCUUAAGGACCCUAUGAACGGAGCGCAUGACGCUCCGACCGCGACCCCAGGUCAGGCGGGACUACCCGCUGAAUUUAAGCAUAUAAAUAAGCGGAGGAGAAGAAACUUACAAGGAUUCCCCUAGUAACGGCGAGCGAACCGGGAUCAGCCCAGCUUGAGAAUCGGGCGGCCGUGCCGUCCGA
RNAcentral lists this ribosomal RNA (441 nucleotides) under Poa pratensis (Kentucky bluegrass). RNAcentral's name for it is "eukaryotic LSU rRNA". The stretch from base 301 to 441 matches the Rfam family "Eukaryotic large subunit ribosomal RNA", at positions 1 to 141 of the family's 3401-position model. Lineage: Eukaryota; Viridiplantae; Streptophyta; Magnoliopsida; Poales; Poaceae. The record is from RNAcentral. RNAcentral also lists the same sequence under 2 other names.